RNAcentral lists this long non-coding RNA (429 nucleotides) under Oncorhynchus kisutch (coho salmon). Its description in RNAcentral is "lncRNA (ENSOKIG00005034820.1)". The record is from RNAcentral. Lineage: Eukaryota; Metazoa; Chordata; Actinopteri; Salmoniformes; Salmonidae.
ACUCCUUCUAACACUGUCACUAUCCUCCACCCUGAAGGAAACAUGCUACUACAACAGCCAAUCUCCUUUCACCUCAGAGCUUCACCCAGGAGACACUCAUAUCACAUCCUCAUCAUCAUCGUCUUCCUCAGCAUAUUCAUCAUCUUCAUCAUCAUCAUGAUAUUUUUCUUCAUCAUGAUGUUCAGAGUUCUGAUUCACCUGGCAGCUCUACCACUCUGGGUGACAGGGCAGUUGUUUAGUAGCAUGGUUCAUCAGAGGCCUGUGGCACUAACAGAAGGUCCUGGAGGAGACGUUCAACUCACCUGCAGCCAUACGAUCCCUAACUACUACGUGAUACUAUGAACCAUCAACAUGAUCAAGCUUCUCAUACAUGUAGCAACUCUACCACUAUGGGUGACAGGUACUAAAUCCCUCAUGAAAGAUAGAUUU